UUGUUGAAAAGGGGGUCUCAGUAAGGGGUAUCUUUUUUAAACCAAAAAAAUUACAUUUUGAUAUUGGAGGAAAAUGAAGCAAAAGGAAGGAAAAUUCUAUCUGUUUCCAUCCAGUCUUUGUCUGUUGAAUAUACCUGCAGUCACUUUAUGUAUACAUACUUACUCACACUCACAAGCACACACAUAUGCUCCCUGCUGACCUGGCAUGAUAGCACUCCAUAUGCCAAGCUCUUCACUAAUUGUUUUUUUUUCCCCAAAAAUAAAUAGCUCUAUCACAUAUAAAGAGAAAUCUUUGGGGGAAUUAUUAUGAGCUAGUGAAUGUUGACUAGAAAGAUUACAGAGUUUUGUCUUUGAGGAAGUUUUGUUUCUGUUGUUUUUUUAAUUUUGGUUUUGUUUUUCCCCGUGUUUGUUCUGUUUUUAAUCCACGAUUUUUUGUGAGCUGCUCAUUAUUCAAGGGAGCAGGGAAUGAGGCAAGCCAUGUAUUAUAGAUGGCAAAUGUGGCCUUAAUAUGGCACAGACUUUCUCAUUAAGAAAUGAGUCUCUUUCCCUACUCCUUGAAUCAGGACUGGCCUUGUCACUUGUUUUGACCAUUAGAAUGUAGUAGAAACAAUAAUGUACAUGUUCUAAGCCUUCAGGAGGCCUUAAUGCUUCUGCUCUUCCUACUCUUGGGAAUCCUGUAAUCACCUCUGUGAACAAGCCCAGGCAGCCUGUUUGGUGAUGAGAGCCCUGUGUCUCAUUUACUUUCAUCACUCAGCUGACAGACAAAUGAUAUCCAGUCAUGUCCAUGGCACGCUGGGCCAUCAGCUGACCACAGAUCUAUGAGUGAGACCAGCAGAGAGAUCACCGGCUGAUUCCCAGAACUGUGGGCUUAAAGCCGUGGCUGUGUUUUUUUGAUUGUUUGUGUCUUAUGAAGUUAAAGAUAAUUGACAUGCCUUGGCUACUGCUGUUGUGAAAAUAGGCUGACAUAAGAGGCCCAAUUCUUCAAUGGCCUGGUUUCCCCCUUUUGAACCAGAGCCUGACAUUGGACUGAAGGAGGCCCAGGGCCUAGCUCCUCCAGAGAGAGCCUAGUGAGGGAGUGGUCCUGAAGGGCUUGUAAGUCUGCACGAGAGUGCUGGUAGGAAUUCCCUGAGGCUCUAAGAAGCCUAGGGAGGGCUGUGGGGUUCUGGGUCAGGAAGCAGAGUUGGACAUCUUCCCAUGAGGCAUCAGGGGAAGAGGCACCUCCCACCUGGAAGUCAAAGUCCCAGUACCCUGGGUGCCCUUCAGCCCAGACCUUGCUGAGGUAAGCUCCUUACCUGGACAAUCUCCAGGAUCCCCUUUGUGGCCCACUGCUCCUGGUAACCCAGGGGACCCUUGUAUUCCUUAAGGGCCCAACCUCCCAGGAGCGCCCUGUAAGCCUCUGACCCCUUGGCCCGUAGGACAAGGGAACAGGACUCGGUAUAUCUGUUCUUGCUCUGUUUCUAUGAGAGUUUGAUUCCAGAAGAAAGAAACAUUGACCAGAGCUGACUUUCAUCACUGCUUCCAGUCCCAAGAAGAAAACCUUCCCAAUGGGAUGCCUGCAGAGGACCACCCCCAACUCCUGUGUGGAAGCUGGGCUGCCAGAGAAUCAGAGCUACAUCUCUGUUUUGAGUUAUAAUAUGCAGCCUAGAAAAGGACUGGAGCGGCGCAGGACUGGAAAAGAAUCAGACCUGAGAGGAAAUACAUACCAUCACGCAGGCAGCAGAUGAUUCCUGCCAGGCUUCGGAUAAUGGCAGCUGGAUUAAGAAGUUGGAUACAUUUGAGAAACAUCUAUCAGGGAUGCUGCAGGUGGGACAGAGGCAGCGAAUGGCAAGCAUCAGUGCCCUCCAGCCAGAGACUACAAGGAAUAUCCCUACAGUUGGUCCAGUUGAUGAUUUUUCUUUUCUUUUAUAUGUGUGUGUUGGGGGUACUUAUUAAA
Manis javanica (Malayan pangolin) is the source of this 1933-nucleotide non-coding RNA. Lineage: Eukaryota; Metazoa; Chordata; Mammalia; Pholidota; Manidae. The record is from RefSeq and is a predicted model, not a curated record.